GUUGGGUAGGGGAGCGUUCUGUAAGCCUGCGAAGGUGUACUGUGAGGUAUGCUGGAGGUAUCAGAAGUGCGAAUGCUGACAUAAGUAACGAUAAUGCGGGUGAAAAACCCGCACGCCGGAAGACCAAGGGUUCCUGUCCAACGUUAAUCGGGGCAGGGUGAGUCGACCCCUAAGGCGAGGCUGAAAAGCGUAGUCGAUGGGAAACGGGUUAAUAUUCCCGUACUGGUGGUAACUGCGAUGGGGGAACGGAGAAGGCUAGGUUGUCCGGGCGACGGUCGUCCCGGUUCAAGCAGGUAGGCAGAGUGAUUAGGCAAAUCCGGUCACUUAAUGCUGAGAUGUGAUGACGAACCACCAAGGUGGUGAAGCAAUUGAUGCCCCGCUUCCAGGAAAAGCCUCUAAGCUUCAGGUUACCAACAAUCGUACCCCAAACCGACACAGGUGGUCAGGUAGAGAAUACUCAGGCGCUUGAGAGAACUCGGGUGAAGGAACUAGGCAAAAUGGUGCCGUAACUUCGGGAGAAGGCACGCUGGCGGUAGGUAAAGUCCCUUGCGGACGGCGCUGAAGCCAGUCGAAGAUACCAGCUGGCUGCAACUGUUUAUUAAAAACACAGCACUGUGCAAACACGAAAGUGGACGUAUACGGUGUGACGCCUGCCCGGUGCUGGAAGGUUAAUUGAUGGGGUUAGCCGUAAGGCGAAGCUCCUGAUCGAAGCCCCAGUAAACGGCGGCCGUAACUAUAACGGUCCUAAGGUAGCGAAAUUCCUUGU
This 766-nucleotide ribosomal RNA is filed under the name Proteus mirabilis. Its description in RNAcentral is "partial 23S ribosomal RNA". It matches the Rfam family "Bacterial large subunit ribosomal RNA", at positions 1223 to 1972 of the family's 2925-position model. The record is from RNAcentral. Lineage: Bacteria; Pseudomonadati; Pseudomonadota; Gammaproteobacteria; Enterobacterales; Morganellaceae.